CCUACGGGAGGCAGCAGUGAGGAAUAUUGGUCAAUGGACGCAAGUCUGAACCAGCCAUGCCGCGUGCAGGAAGACGGCUCUAUGAGUUGUAAACUGCUUUUGUAUGAGGGUAAACGCAGAUACGCGUAUCUGUCUGAAAGUAUCGUAUGAAUAAGGAUCGGCUAACUCCGUGCCAGCAGCCGCGGUAAUACGGAGGAUUCAAGCGUUAUCCGGAUUUAUUGGGUUUAAAGGGUGCGUAGGCGGGUGGAUAAGUUAGGUGUGAAAUCCCGAGGCUCAACUUCGGAAUUGCAUUUGAUACUGUUCGGCUGGAGAGUAGUUGCGGUAGGCGGAAUGUGUGGUGUAGCGGUGAAAUGCUUAGAGAUCAUACAGAACACCGAUUGCGAAGGCAGCUUACCAAGCUACUACUGACGUUGAGGCACGAAAGCGUGGGGAGCAAACAGGAUUAGAUACCCGUGUAGUC
Molecule: ribosomal RNA, 460 nt
Filed under: uncultured bacterium
Lineage: Bacteria
Description: partial 16S ribosomal RNA
Rfam family: Bacterial small subunit ribosomal RNA
Source: RNAcentral